AGGACGAACGCUGGCGGCGUGCUUAACACAUGCAAGUCGAGCGGAAAGGCCCUUCGGGGUACUCGAGCGGCGAACGGGUGAGUAACACGUGAGCAACCUGCCCUUGGCUCUGGGAUAGCCUCCGGAAACGGGGAUUAAUACCGGACAUUCACUGAUCCCUGCAUGGGGGGUGGUGGAAAGUUUUUCGGCCAGGGAGGGGCUCGCGGCCUAUCAGCUUGUUGGCGGGGUAACGGCCCACCAAGGCGACGACGGGUAG
RNAcentral lists this ribosomal RNA (256 nucleotides) under uncultured bacterium. RNAcentral describes it as "partial small subunit ribosomal RNA". It matches the Rfam family "Bacterial small subunit ribosomal RNA", at positions 26 to 286 of the family's 1533-position model. The record is from RNAcentral.